RNAcentral lists this long non-coding RNA (5476 nucleotides) under Triticum aestivum (bread wheat). Its description in RNAcentral is "long non-coding RNA (TAES_LNC016943)". Lineage: Eukaryota; Viridiplantae; Streptophyta; Magnoliopsida; Poales; Poaceae. The record is from RNAcentral.
AGGUGGAAGGCAACUUGGGCCAAAAAGGCCCAAGUGGGAAAGUGCCUCCUUCGCCUAAGGAAGGAGGCCGAAUUGGGAGAGGGGGAGGAGUCAGACUCCUCCUCCCUGGUCUUUCCCCCUUGGUGGCAGAGCUCCCUCUCCUCUCCAUCCUAUAUAUACAUGAGGAUUUGUGCUCUUUUGUUCAUACAAGUUUUGGAGCCUCCUCUAGUUCUACCCGUUCUAGUUGACUAAUCAGAGCUAGGAUAAUCCUCCUGUCCCCAUUAUUAGAAGCCAUGUGUAGUUCUAAUCUCCUCCCUCUAAUUCUUGGAUGACGAUUAGCUCUGGACGGUGAAGCGUUGCCGGAUCGUGAAGGAUGCACGCUUGCAACCAACUAGAGAGGUCGUGCUUUCGGUCUUCAGUUCGAGGGACUGUUUGUGGGCGGUGCGAGGGAUCGUUCAUCGACGGUUCGAGGGACACCAAGUACGAUCUACGUCGACACAUUCUUCUUCCGCUGCAACUCAGUGACGGUAACGAUCGUGAUCUCAACCCGUUAUGCAUCUUCAUAUUGAUCUUGGGUACAGUGAUCGUAGGUGCAUUUUUUUGUUUUCUACUACAUUUCCCAACACUCUUCCCCUCGCACAGAUAACCAUCAGCCGAGCCACUCCAUCCAACUUCUCUCUUCCACAACCACAAUAAGAAAACCUCCACCGCUCCAUGGCGUUUGGCCUCGGAUGGGACUAGGUUCUGCAGGAGAUCCUUCGACGGCAACAACAUCAAGCUUUCCUACACGCAUGAGGUGAGAACCUGGUACAUCAAUGUUGCAGUCCUGAAGAAUCAUGCGCGCGCGGUGAGGGCCUGCGCCACGCAUGAGGAGAAGUCAUGAAUGCCAGAACUCCACCGCCCACUCAUCGAGAACUUGGUCCGGGCGAUGGGAGAGGUCAGGGAUUCCUCGGAUCCAUUCUAGCGGUCACGCCGGUACAUGUACCAGAACCACGACUAACUCCACCUAGACUACAAGCUCGAUACAGUGGUACCAGUGCUGCCCGUCGCUCUGAUGGAGAUGGAGCUGCCGUAGGUGGAGUAGCAACAGAUGGAGCAGCAGAGGUGGAGACUGGCACAAGCAACGAAAGGAAGAAGAAGAAGAAGAAGCAGCGCAUCCAUGUGCUACUUCAUCGAUCGCUCCAUCUUCUCAAGCUACAACAAGAGUGAGUUUGAUGCAGCACCUAGGUCUUAGUUAGUUUCUACAGCAAGAUCUGAACCAAUAUAUGUGUUAUGUUAGUUUCUGAACUUAACUGUGUCCGAAGAACUAUGUGUGCUUUCCAUCUGAGUACCCUUUCUAUCCAAAUUGUGCUAUGAUAUCUAUCUAUCUAUCUAGAGAACUCAUCUAUCUAUGAUAGCUAUCUAUCUGAAUAUUUGUGUGUGAUGAAACUUUAUUGUGUGUUUGCUUCUGAACAACCAUGUAUGUUUGCGUCUAAUGAAACUCCUCUAUUUGAAUAUCACAAGAAAUGUCAUCGUGCUCAUAUUAUCUGAAUAUUUCAAGACAAGUUAUGUGUGAUAAAACUUUGGUGGUCAUAUUAUCUAAAUCUUAAACUUUGGUGCUCUAGGUUUCAAUGCAAAGAACAUGUUCAGGUUAACAUAGGUGUGCUCUAGGUGUCAAUGCAAAAAUAAAAUGUUAUCAUGAAACUAUAGGUUUCAACCUAGUCUUUCUUCAGUUAGUUUUCCAUGGAACUAUAGGUGUGCUCUAGGUGUCAAUGCAAAGAUAAAAUGUUAUGAAACAGAGAAUCCUUCUAUUUUGUAGUAUUUCAUAGUUUGAUUGAAUAUAGUCUGAACAUUACAAGUCUGGAUAUUGCAUGUUGUCUCUCUCCUAGGUAGGUUCAGUUGAUGUCUUUAAUCAACACAACUUUGAAACUAGUUUGAACAUUAAAUUGAGCACACGUACUAACAUUUCACAUCAGUAAAGUCACUUAAAACAUGUACAAUGACUCACUCCUUCUCUGGUCAACUUGUCCACUGCACCACUCAACCCAAAUUUUACUCAUGUACCCACUGCACAACACCCUGCAAAAUUCAAUAGUGGCAUUUAGUGUCAGUUACAUGCAUCGCAUAAGGAUUUUUCAAAUGCAAACUACAUAUAUCAAUCGGUAAAGUAACUAACCUUAGAAUGAUUAACCAUUUGAAGGCACCAAGUUAGAUGAGUACUCCAGAUAGAUAGUCUAAAACUCUAUUUCAGAACCAUAAAAUUCAGUCAAACAAGACAAAUUUCAGUUAAUUUAGAGUCCUAAAAUUCAGCAAACAUGACAUGUUUUAGUUAAUUUAGAAUCCUAAAAUUCAGUCAAACAUGACAUGUUUUAGUUAAUUUAGAGUCCUAAAAUUCAGUCAAACAAGACAUGUUUCAGUUAAUUUAGAGUUCUAAAAUCCAGUCAAACAGGACAACAAGAUUCAGUCAAAGAAGACAACAAGAUCCAGUCAAACAAGUUCUGGUCCAUUCAGUCACAAACAACAACAACAAGAUCCUGUUAACUAGGUCCAACAACGAAAUUUGCUACAAUUCCAGCAAACCAUACUUCACUUAUCCGGAUCCCUAGAAUUCCAGCAACGACAUUUGCUAGUGGAGAAAGGAAGGCAACUCACCUAGGGGCUCGACCAUCACCGUGAGGGCAUGGGCGAGAGCUGCUGCCGCCGGCACUGGCGAUGAUGAAAUACUCUAAAAUGAAUAUGGUGUUGCCACAACAAUCUUCAUCCCCUCCUUGCAAAGGACGCCCCCGCCAUGCCGGCCAACCACGCUUCAUGCUCUGUCCACCACGCCUUGUCCUCACCACUACCUCGCCGAUGGAUUCGGAGCCGCCACCACCGCCAUGCCCAUGAGAGAGAGAGAGAGAGAGAGAGAGAGAGAGGAGAGGGAGAGGAGUAACUUGAGGGAGAGAAAGCGAGGGACGGGAGUGACGGAGGGAGCGCUCGGGUUGGGCCGCCCCAGUCGCUUCGGACAGAGCUGUUAAUGGCGCGCCGUCGACGUACUCGAACCACGAGGGAUCAACCAUGUCAAAAUGUGCUAAAAAGGCUCAAUGUUUUUGUCACCGUCAGAUUUUCGGUUCGGUGCGAAAUGUCACAAAUCGUGAAGUGAUAGUUUUCUGCUAAUCAUGACACAAAUGUGGUGCUUCUGGGCCUAAACCAUUUCCUCCUGGGGCCCAAACUCCCGGUCACGCAUGACGCAAACCAAAUGUAGACGUCGGCCAGUCCAAGUCCAAUAUAUGACACGGGUUAAAGCAAACAGAUUUGAGCCGAACGAUUGAAAAAUCCAACGGCUAAUACUGGGAGUAAAGUGUGGCCCGAAUCUUCUGGUGUUUUCUGGGCCUGGACUAAUUUCUCCUCAGGCCCAAUAGCUCCACGGUCACGCAUGACGCAGACCCAAUAUGGACAGUCCAAGUCCAAUAGCACCACCUCCACGCGGAAACCCCAGCCAGGACAGCAACCCAUUCGCAAUCCCCACCUCUAUAUAAGCGGCCCCGUGGAUCCACACCAAACCCUAGUCGCAGCUCUUCCGUCUCCCGCCGCCGCCGCAGCCGCCGCCUGCCUCGAGCCGCCGUCGCCAUGGGGAGAAGUAAGCACGCGCUUUACCCUCCCCCUCUCGCCCUUGCGUGUAUGUUACUCUAGUCUAGCGUUCAUCUGGCCGUAGCUAUGGUUCGUGCAAUCGUUUGAAUUGGCGCGGUUGCGUGUGAAUCUGGCCUAGAUCCGUCGUAGCCGCGCGGAACCUGUGGUAUGUGUUACUCCCGAUGUUUAUUUAGUUUCUGUCUGGUGGAUUUGGCAAGAUAAAUUCAUGCCCGUAGCUGUUCUCAUGUGGUGAUUCGAAACAACAUUUGAGUAGUUCAAGCUGCGGGUCAUACUCUGUUCGUUUCAUUUUAGUGUCUGUUUGUUAAAUGGUGCCCGAAAAAUGCUCUAGGCUUCUCGGAUGUUGAUAUUUCCUGUGCUCUUUCAUGUACUAUGCUAGGAAAUGAAGAUCUGUAUGCUCUUGCUUUUAAGUUAUUCUAAGCACUGCUGCUGUUGGUAGGGUUGUAUGGCCAAUGAUAUUCUAUGAAGCUGAAUGAGUAGUUGUUGUGGCUAGUUGUUGAUCAACUUGCCAACUGCUCAUGUUGAAUCAUGGUAGUUAGUAAUCUCUUCUUUCCCUGUCAAUGGUAACCUAUCUUAAAUUGAGUCUGAUUGUACAUGUUGCUCAUAUCUAGAGUUGAAUGUGGUGCAAAUUAAACUGUUUCAUUCUCUGUACCUGGAAAGAAGCAGUGUCUUAACUGAGUUGCACAUUCUUUUGAAUGUUCACUGCAAAUUAAAAUGUUAUUUUGCAUGUUUGCUGCUUUUAGUUGUUCUGUUCUGGUAAUGACAAUUCUCUGGUCAGGACCUGCGAGGUGCUAUCGGCAGAUCAAGAACAAGCCAUACCCCAAGUCAAGGUACUGCCGUGGUGUGCCUGACCCUAAGAUCAGGAUCUAUGAUGUCGGCAUGAAGAAGAAGGGUGUCGAUGAGUUCUCUCACUGUGUUCACCUUGUCUCAUGGGAGAAGGAGAAUGUGUCCAGUGAGGCUCUUGAGGCUGCCCGUAUUGCUUGCAACAAGUACAUGACUAAGCAUGCAGGAAAGGAUGCCUUCCACCUCAGGGUCAGGGUUCACCCGUUCCAUGUGCUCCGUAUCAACAAGAUGCUUUCGUGUGCCGGGGCUGAUAGGCUCCAGACUGGUAUGAGGGGUGCUUUCGGGAAGCCGCAGGGAGUCUGUGCCCGUGUUGCCAUUGGGCAGGUCCUCCUUUCUGUGCGGUGCAAGCCCAACAAUGCCAUCCAUGCUACUGAGGCCCUUCGUCGUGCCAAGUUCAAGUUCCCUGGCCGCCAAAAGAUCAUUGAGAGCAGGAAGUGGUAAGCACUGAAGAUUGUUUCAUGUGCUGAGAUGAUAUUCUUGUCAAAAUUUCUGUGUGCCAUAUCUCUAAUUUUGUGCUGCCUCUUUCAGGGGCUUCACCAAGUUCAACCGCAAUGACUACCUCAAGUUCAAGAGUGAGGGCAGGAUCUUGCCUGAUGGAGUCAACGCUAAGGUAGAUAUACUUGAUCCUGGGCAAUUGUUUUGAAGAUGAACUUAUUUAUCCUGCCUUGGUAAACUGUUGUCCCUGCAUCAUCUAAUUGUUUCAUGUCUGGCUUUGCAGCUGCUCGGAUGCCAUGGCCGCCUUGCAAACCGUGCCCCUGGACAAGCUUUCCUGUCUGCUGCAUAAUCUAGCAGAAGAAGUCUAUCCGUUCUAUCGAAACUUAUUUUACCGUGUGGAACUUAGAUUCCAAGUGCCUGUGGUGCUAUGUUAUUUUGUCUGAAUGUUGUGUCGAACCUUGUUAUGGAAGAUAUUAUCUAUUUUGUGAUGAUGGUACUAAUAUGAAUGGCCUGUUGAAUCAUUACUACUUGAAUUCGUUUGUCAAUGUAUUUUGCUGUGGUUGUUGUCCUGUGUUUGAAUUUGAUGCUUCAUUUUGUGAAGCUACCCAAGGAA